CGGCGAGUAGCGCAGCUUGGUAGCGCAACUGGUUUGGGACCAGGUGGGUCGGAGGUUCGAAUCCUCUCUCGCCGACCA
RNAcentral lists this transfer RNA (78 nucleotides) under Citrobacter koseri. RNAcentral describes it as "tRNA-Pro(tgg)". It matches the Rfam family "tRNA". Rfam says of the family: Transfer RNA (tRNA) molecules are approximately 80 nucleotides in length. The record is from RNAcentral. Lineage: Bacteria; Pseudomonadati; Pseudomonadota; Gammaproteobacteria; Enterobacterales; Enterobacteriaceae.